This 496-nucleotide ribosomal RNA is filed under the name uncultured bacterium. RNAcentral's name for it is "partial 16S ribosomal RNA". It matches the Rfam family "Bacterial small subunit ribosomal RNA", at positions 28 to 506 of the family's 1533-position model. The record is from RNAcentral.
GAUGAACGCUGGCGGCGUGCCUAAUACAUGCAAGUCGAGCGAACAGAUGAGGAGCUUGCUCCUCUGACGUUAGCGGCGGACGGGUGAGUAACACGUGGAUAACCUACCUAUAAGACUGGGAUAACUUCGGGAAACCGGAGCUAAUACCGGAUAAUAUAUUGAACCGCAUGGUUCAAUAGUGAAAGACGGUUUUGCUGUCACUUAUAGAUGGAUCCGCGCCGCAUUAGCUAGUUGGUAAGGUAACGGCUUACCAAGGCAACGAUGCGUAGCCGACCUGAGAGGGUGAUCGGCCACACUGGAACUGAGACACGGUCCAGACUCCUACGGGAGGCAGCAGUAGGGAAUCUUCCGCAAUGGGCGAAAGCCUGACGGAGCAACGCAGCGUGAGUGAUGAAGGUCUGCGGAUCGUAAAACGCUGUUAUUAGGGAAGAACAAAUGUGUAAGUAACUAUGCACGUCUUGACGGUACCUAAUCAGAAAGCCACGGCUAACUACGU